GACGAACGCUGGCGGCGUGCUUAACACAUGCAAGUCGAACGGAAAGGCCCUGCUUUUGUGGGGUGCUCGAGUGGCGAACGGGUGAGUAACACGUGAGUAACCUGCCCUUGACUUUGGGAUAACUUCAGGAAACUGGGGCUAAUACCGGAUAGGAGCUCCUGCUGCAUGGUGGGGGUUGGAAAGUUUCGGCGGUUGGGGAUGGACUCGCGGCUUAUCAGCUUGUUGGUGGGGUAGUGGCUUACCAAGGCUUUGACGGGUAGCCGGCCUGAGAGGGUGACCGGCGACAUUGGGACUGAGGUAAGGCCGAGACUCCGAGGGGAGGCAGCAGUGGGGAAUUUUGACCAAUGGGCGGAGGCCUGAUGCAGAAACGCCGCGUGCGGGAUAACGGCCUUCGGGUGGUAAACCGCUUUCGCCUGUGACGAAGCGUGAGUGACGGUAAUGGGUAAAGAAGCACCGGCUAACUACGUG
Molecule: ribosomal RNA, 468 nt
Filed under: uncultured bacterium
Lineage: Bacteria
Description: partial 16S ribosomal RNA
Rfam family: Bacterial small subunit ribosomal RNA
Source: RNAcentral